Molecule: ribosomal RNA, 489 nt
Filed under: Triticum aestivum (bread wheat)
Lineage: Eukaryota; Viridiplantae; Streptophyta; Magnoliopsida; Poales; Poaceae
Description: partial small subunit ribosomal RNA
Source: RNAcentral
AUGGCUUCAGCCGGCCUCGCUCUCAAGGCGGCCGCCGUGGCCGCCAUGCUCGCCAUGCUGGUCAUACCUUUGUCGGGCCGCUGUCUGUCGCUGGGGCCGGCACCGCCAGCACCGUCGCCGCCGGCACAGGCGCCACCGCCACCCGAAUCGAUACCACCGGUGCCAGCACCGGCGCCGGCACAGCGGGUAUCGUGCGGGGACUGUUACUCGGUCGGGAGCCAGGCGUGCUAUUCGUUGUGCAUAGCCCCCUCCUCCGAGACAUGCGGUUGCCUUUUGGUUCAAGGUCGCUGCGACAAGUGCAAGACCUCCGAGACCGACAUGUGCACGGCCAACUGCACCGACGGCCGCUGUGACUGCGGCGCCGCCGCCGACAAGGCAUGCGCCGACACUUGUUCCUACAAUGAUUGCAGCUGGUGCGUGCGCGGGCAACAGCAGGGUUGCCUGACCAGCUGCAGGAGCGAGUGCAUGAGCAAGUGCAAUGGGCCGUAG